RNAcentral lists this ribosomal RNA (440 nucleotides) under uncultured bacterium. RNAcentral describes it as "partial 16S ribosomal RNA". It matches the Rfam family "Bacterial small subunit ribosomal RNA", at positions 338 to 795 of the family's 1533-position model. The record is from RNAcentral.
CCUACGGGAGGCAGCAGUGGGGAAUAUUGCACAAUGGGGGAAACCCUGAUGCAGCGACGCCGCGUGAGUGAAGAAGUAAUUCGUUAUGUAAAGCUCUAUCAGCAGGGAAGAAAAUGACGGUACCUGAGCAAGAAGCCCCGGCUAACUACGUGCCAGCAGCCGCGGUAAUACGUAGGGGGCAAGCGUUAUCCGGAUUUACUGGGUGUAAAGGGAGCGUAGACGGCAGUGCAAGUCUGGAGUGAAAGGCGGGGGCUCAACCCCCGGACUGCCCUGGAAACUGUACGGCUGGAGUGCAGGAGAGGUAAGUGGAAUUCCUAGUGUAGCGGUGAAAUGCGGAGAUAUUAGGAGGAACACCAGUGGCGAAGGCGGCUUACUGGACUGUAACUGACGUUGAGGCUCGAAAGAGUGGGGAGCAAACAGGAUUAGAUACCCCAGUAGUC